Peromyscus maniculatus bairdii (prairie deer mouse) is the source of this 308-nucleotide long non-coding RNA. RefSeq lists it as uncharacterized. NCBI's taxonomy places the organism in Eukaryota, Metazoa, Chordata, Mammalia, Rodentia, Cricetidae. The record is from RefSeq and is a predicted model, not a curated record.
GCCCUUUCUCCUUCCUUGACACCUGGUUGUCCUUGCCUGCCAAAGUUCCAGCACUGAGCAGGGGGAGUCAGCUUCUUUGGGGGACUUAAGAUACAGGAACAAGGAAGAGAGAACAUGCUAGGCAGCCAUAGGCAGAAUAGUGGGGACCGAGAAUGAGUGACUCAUCGCCUCCUGAACAGUUGGUUUGCUUACUGCCUUAUUAAAUGCACCUGCAGAAAGGAAGAACUGAAAACUUCAAGAUUCUUUGCCCCCAAAAUAAGUCUAUCAAAGCAAUUUUGAUUGACUAUAUUUUUUUCUUCUAUAUUCAA